AUGGGUAAUGCAAAAAGCAAAGCCGGUGAACAUCAAAAAGAAGAGGACGUAGCUACAGGUAUUAAGCAUUGCACCAGUUUUACAUGCAUUUCUAACAGUAACAAGCUUGAAUGUACAGGUCAAGCGAGUGAAAAAAAUGUAGAAUAUAGUCCAUUCUUGAUACCCUUUGAUGAGAAACAUGAAGCUAUUUACGCGACGCAACAUGCCCCUACGAACGAGACAAAUCUGGAAGAAUAUAACCAAAGCAACGUAAUAGUGGCUGCAAUUGUUGACCCAAUAUACACGACCGAAACAGAAUGGGUAAUACCUGGACAACAUGAUGCAAACAACACAACUUCCGAAAAGGCUGAAACUGGAUCUUUAAUUAAUGAAUGUAGAAAAUACGCUGAGGAAGCAAGGGAGCAGUACAAUGCACGGAAGCGUGCUGCUUAUCGGAAGAAAAAAGAUAAUGAUAUUGUCAACUUACAAGAUGAGAAUCAGCCUGUACUUGCUAAAACUGAUCAUAGGGAUCUUAUCAACGCUCGUAGGCGGGCGGCUUAUCGCAAUAUCAAGCCAGGUUGUUUGGAUAAACAUAGUUUCAAUGGCUAG
Molecule: ribosomal RNA, 588 nt
Filed under: Triticum aestivum (bread wheat)
Lineage: Eukaryota; Viridiplantae; Streptophyta; Magnoliopsida; Poales; Poaceae
Description: partial small subunit ribosomal RNA
Source: RNAcentral